GGGUUGUGAGGUUAAGCGACUAAGCGUACACGGUGGAUGCCCUGGCAGUCAGAGGCGAUGAAGGGCGUGCUAAUCUGCGAUAAGCGCCGGUAAGGUGAUAUGAACCGUUAUAACCGGCGAUACCCGAAUGGGGAAACCCAGUGUGAUUCGUCACACUAUCAUUAACUGAAUCCAUAGGUUAAUGAGGCGAACCGGGGGAACUGAAACAUCUAAGUACCCCGAGGAAAAGAAAUCAACCGAGAUUCCCCCAGUAGCGGCGAGCGAACGGGGAGGAGCCCAGAGCCUGAAUCAGCAUGUGUGUUAGUGGAAGCGUCUGGAAAGGCGCGCGAUACAGGGUGACAGCCCCGUACACAAAAGCGCAUGUGCUGUGAGCUCGAUGAGUAGGGCGGGACACGUGGUAUCCUGUCUGAAUAUGGGGGGAC
This 422-nucleotide ribosomal RNA is filed under the name Salmonella enterica subsp. enterica serovar Derby. Its description in RNAcentral is "bacterial LSU rRNA". It matches the Rfam family "Bacterial large subunit ribosomal RNA", at positions 1 to 453 of the family's 2925-position model. Lineage: Bacteria; Pseudomonadati; Pseudomonadota; Gammaproteobacteria; Enterobacterales; Enterobacteriaceae. The record is from RNAcentral.